CUGCGCGGGUAGCCCCUGGGAGCACGCGGCACCGAGUCACGUGAGAGGGGAGCGCAGGCGAAGGGGCGUCGCGCGCAAGCACGCACGACGUACGCAAACACGCACUGAGGCGCCCACAGAGCGCCUGCCUGGACGAGCUGAGCUGCGAGUUCCUGCUGGCUGGGGCCGGAGGGGCCGGGGCGGGGGCCGCGCCCGGACCGCAUCUCCCCCCACGGGGGUCGGUGCCUGGGGAUCCUGUCCGCAUCCACUGCAACAUCACGGAGUCAUACCCUGCUGUGCCCCCCAUCUGGUCGGUGGAGUCUGAUGACCCUAACUUGGCUGCUGUCUUGGAGAGGCUGGUGGACAUAAAGAAAGGGAAUACUCUGCUAUUGCAGCAUCUGAAGAGGAUCAUCUCCGACCUGUGUAAACUCUAUAACCUCCCUCAGCAUCCAGAUGUGGAGAUGUUGGAUCAACCCUUGCCAGCAGAGCAGUGCACACAGGAAGACGUGUCUUCAGAAGAUGAAGAUGAGGAGAUGCCUGAGGACACAGAAGACUUAGAUCACUAUGAAAUGAAAGAGGAAGAGCCGGCUGAGGGCAAGAAAUCUGAAGAUGAUGGCAUUGGAAAAGAAAACUUGGCCAUCCUAGAGAAAAUUAAAAAGAACCAGAGGCAAGAUUACUUAAAUGGUGCAGUGUCUGGCUCGGUGCAGGCCACUGACCGGCUGAUGAAGGAGCUCAGGGAUAUAUACCGAUCACAGAGUUUCAAAGGCGGAAACUAUGCAGUCGAACUCGUGAAUGACAGUCUGUAUGAUUGGAAUGUCAAACUCCUCAAGUGAGUGGGGACUCUGGGAUUG
Molecule: small RNA, 830 nt
Filed under: Pan troglodytes (chimpanzee)
Lineage: Eukaryota; Metazoa; Chordata; Mammalia; Primates; Hominidae
Description: processed transcript
Source: RNAcentral